This is a long non-coding RNA of Pristis pectinata (smalltooth sawfish), 537 nucleotides long. RefSeq lists it as uncharacterized. The record is from RefSeq and is a predicted model, not a curated record. Lineage: Eukaryota; Metazoa; Chordata; Chondrichthyes; Rhinopristiformes; Pristidae. The transcript has 3 exons.
CAAGAACGAGAUAUUCCUCUAUUUCCACCACGCUGGCUGCAGGAGCUGAAGCAACGACUUGGCCUUUGCCUUCCCAAGAUAUCUACCAGGGAAACCAGCCGUGAACUAGCACCAGCUGACAACUUAAACAGGAGGUACUCUGGUUUCCUCCCACAUUCCAAAGGCAGGGACAUUGGGACGUUUAUCAGCCAUUGGAAAUUAUUGUGUAGCUGUUCUUCAUUCAAGUUAGUGGACCCGCUGUUCUCAUACCAGGUGUGACCUGAACUGUGCUCAGCAGACAGAUUUCCCAGCAUUGGCGAUUGGAGUCCUCUGCAAAUUUGCUCACUGAUGCUGGACUCCAUGAACCGGCCAUUGUUGGAGGAGAGUUGGAAAAGUUGCUGGUGAAGAAUGGCUAAGAAGUUCAGGGAUUUUCCCUGGGGAGAAAAGAUCGCAAACUUGGCAGCACUUGAAGAGUUAAAUGCUGGCAGUUCCAUGCUAUGUCAAAUAAAUCCAUCUCUGAAUUCUUUACACCCCAAAUUGAUAAAAGUGAAACAUGAA